RNA transcript from Uloborus diversus, 1440 nucleotides. It is a transcript of the gene named serine/arginine-rich splicing factor 7-like, with no coding region annotated. The record is from RefSeq and is a predicted model, not a curated record. NCBI's taxonomy places the organism in Eukaryota, Metazoa, Arthropoda, Arachnida, Araneae, Uloboridae. The transcript is spliced from 5 exons.
CGCAGCCGCCGCCAUUUCGGCUUUGUUUCUCGCGUAGAGGUUUUUAUUAGCAACGCUAAUUUUCAAUUGUUAUUGUAGCCGCGUAAUAUUUACAUACUUUUUUAAUUGUACUGAAAAUGUCGAGGCACCGCAAUUCAGGACCUUUGGAUUGCAAGGUGUAUGUUGGCGAACUUGGAAACAGUGGAACAAGACAUGAAUUAGAAGAUGCGUUCAGUUAUUAUGGACCUCUGAGGAAUGUGUGGGUAGCCAGAAAUCCUCCUGGAUUUGCAUUUGUUGAAUUUGAAGAUGCCCGUGAUGCUAAGGAUGCUGUCAGAUGUUUAGAUGGAAAAAUCCUUUGUGGAAGACGUGUACGAGUUGAAUUAUCAAGUGGAAAAUCAAGAUCAUCUUACAGGCCUCCACCUAGAUACAACCCAGAUGAGCGUUGUUAUGAAUGUGGAGAACGAGGGCACUAUGCAAGAGAUUGCAAAGGAUCUUCUAGGCGUAGAUCAAGGCUAAAGCAGCCUACAACAGUAAAACUCAUCUUUGUCGCUCAAGCUGCAUAGUGAUCAGCAUUCAUCAUUGAGUUACCAGCUCACCCUAUGUUAUACUUCAGCCUAUUAAACAUCCUAAUGAAACUUCGACUCGCCUCAACUCGGGACGACUGCAUACUACAUGUCAAUCUUCUACAAAUCAGCUCUUAGGGCGUCUCAUCUAAUGUUAACCGAUCAACUCAUCGCAUCCUCUUCAAAAUAUUCAUCAUUGUCCAAUGUGUUCACUACUUACUUGUUAUCAACUUAAGUUGUUCAUUAUAAUUAGAGGUUUGUCUUUUCCUUUCUUUAUCUGUGUUUUAAGCCCAACUAUAAAACAGAUCACAAAGAAUGACAAAGCGAUGUAAAAAAUUCAUUAAAAUAUAGGAUAUUUGAAAGGCUAAAAUGAAAUAUUAAUUUCUUCUUUUGUGGAAUAAAAAUAUUCCACUAAUGUAUUAUUCUUGGUUAAAAUUGUUUGAUUAAAACCUUUAAAAUUAAGAGAAAGGGAUAAUGAUUUGAAUUUUACCAGUCUUAAAUAUUUAAUUUUCAGUUCAUUUGUUUUUUUAUCCAUGGUAGAUAUAUAAUUCUGAGGUGGUGUGCAUAUUUACAUAACUGAGCUGGUUAAUUUCUCUGUACUAGUCUUUGCAAGAAAAGUUCAUGUUGGAAGUUUUUUAAGGUUAUCAGUAUCGGCAGUGAAAAUAGACAAGAAAUCAGUUGCCAUUUAGAAUUUCAGGUAAGUGGAGUAAAUGAGUUUCAUUAUUUAACUGUCUUUUUUUUUUUUAAAGAUCAAGAUCCCGAUCUCCGAGACGAGGAAGAAGCAGAAGUCGCUCUCGCAGUCGUUCCGCUAGUAGAUCCCCAGUAAGAGGACGUGGUGGAUCUAGAAGCAGAUCUGGAUCUAGAAGCCGAAAUGGACGAGCUUCAUCUGGAGAUUAAA